GCAGUCGAACGGUAACAGGGAGCUUGCUCCGCUGACGAGUGGCGAACGGGUGAGUAAUACAUCGGAACGUGCCCAGUAAUGGGGAUAGCUCGGCGAAAGCCGGAUUAAUACCGCAUACGCCCUGAGGGGGAAAGUGGGGGACCGCAAGGCCUCACGUUAUUGGAGCGGCCGAUGGCUGAUUAGCUAGUUGGUAGGGUAAAGGCCUACCAAGGCGACGAUCAGUAGCUGGUCUGAGAGGACGAUCAGCCACACUGGGACUGAGACACGGCCCAGACUCCUACGGGAGGCAGCAGUGGGGAAUUUUGGACAAUGGGGGAAACCCUGAUCCAGCAAUGCCGCGUGUGCGAAGAAGGCCUUCGGGUUGUAAAGCACUUUUGUCAGGGAAGAAAUCCUUUGGGCUAAUACCCUAGGGGGAUGACGGUACCUGAAGAAUAAGCACCGGCUAACUACGUGCCAGCAGCCGCGGUAAUACGUAGGGUGCAAGCGUUAGUCGGAAUUACUGGGCGUAAAGCGUGCGCAGGCGGUUGUGUAAGACAGGUGUGAAAUCCCCGGGCUUAACCUGGGAAUUGCAUUUGUGACUGCACGACUAGAGUGUGUCAGAGGGGGGUGGAAUUCCACGUGUAGCAGUGAAAUGCGUAGAUAUGUGGAGGAACACCAAUGGCGAAGGCAGCCCCCUGGGAUAACACUGACGCUCAUGCACGAAAGCGUGGGGAGCAAACAGGAUUGGAUACCCUGGUAGUCCACGCCCUANACGAUGUCAACUAGUUGUUGGGGAUUUACUUCCUUGGUAACGUAGCUAACGCGUGAAGUUGACCGCCUGGGGAGUACGGCCGCAAGGUUAAAACUCAAAGGAAUUGACGGGGACCCGCACAAGCGGUGGAUGAUGUGGAUUAAUUCGAUGCAACGCGAAAAACCUUUACUACCCUUG
Molecule: ribosomal RNA, 928 nt
Filed under: uncultured bacterium
Lineage: Bacteria
Description: bacterial SSU rRNA
Rfam family: Bacterial small subunit ribosomal RNA
Source: RNAcentral